UCUGUACGCUCAGAUUUAUGACUGUCACACAAGACCAGUUUUUAUCAAGACCUGUUGUAUUCAGCUCAUGUUACAAAUACAAUUAUAUUUAUUAGUAAAACAAAUACUAGCAUAUCAAUGGACAAUGUUUACGUAAAAAACAGCAUAGUAUGUCUAAUUAAACAGUACAGUAUGUAAUGAAUAUUAAUUUCCUCCACACAUCCCACAGCUGGUUGGACAGGAGGAUGGUAUAGUGCUGGUGGAAAGCUAUGGCUGGCAACAACACCUGACUCUGUACUUCAGGCCACUGCCACAGUUCAAGCAGUACCAGCACUUCAGUUGAAUAUCAUUUUCCUUGCAUUGUAUGAGGUUAUUCUUAUUAUCUACACUAGGGAGGUCAAUUGAUGUUAUGCAAGGUUGUAAUGUCUUCGUCUAUUUUCCUGUUUUACAGUGUCAAUGCUCCUUCCUCCCAUAGAUGGUCUGCCUGUACAAGCACCACCUGGACUGGACACAACCUGACAAACGUAUCUUUUUGCGAAGAUCAGGUAGUUUUGCGACGAAGAGCCCAUGGACAUUACAUGGCCUAGACCAAAGUCAUGUGGAAGACAAAAACAGGCUCUCCGAAUAUAGAUUCCCUUAUUCAUCCUCGGUGUGGAAGGACCAGUUGAUCACUUGGAGCAAGUUCGCAGUCAUCCGGACUAUCUGCAGUGCCUCUAUGCACAUGACUAACACACACACACACACACACACACAUUGCUGCUACAAUUUUUUUUCCUGCUGCUCAGCCACUUUACCCCAUAUUGUAUGCAUAUAACUACCUCGUCUAUCACCAGCAUCACUGAUAUUCUUCUUGUGCAUACUAUAUAUUAUUUUGUUCUUUCUCUACUUGCAUUGGCACUUAGUUUUUACCUGAUAUCGUGUGUGUUUACAAAAGACGGUAAUGUGAAGAACAACAUAACCUGCACAAAAGUCAGAUUAGAAUACAGGCCAAGGGCUAGCUAGUGUAUUUCUACCUUAUUGUAGGCUACUACUUUUACCACUUUUAGUCUUGAAAUCUAUGGUUGUUUACUACACUACUCACUGUUUGGCACAUGGCCUCACAUGUGAAUCCUUAAAGAGAUGUGUGGGGCUAAAGCUUAAGAGGGUGUAAACGAUGCUGAAUGGGUGUAUUUGGAACUUCGAACCAUUAACUUUGACACCUAUCACUGUAGGCUAUGUUUAAUCUUACAACUGCUACAUAGAGGCAGUAUUGAGUCAAAUGUUACAUCAAUAUUAAAUUUAUUGGAACACUAAUUUUCAUACAGAUAUUUUUAAAAAGUGGGUACACUUUCAGUUAUUGUGAAAAUGUUCCUUUCAAUGCCGUAGCUCUGAAAUGUAAAAUGUUUAAACAUAUUCAGAUUGAGUUAAUCUUUCUAAAAUGUGUAUAGUUUGCCAAGUUAUUUAGCGACGUGUUUACCACCACUGCAUGGAGAAAGUCAAGACGAAGCAGUGGAGCGAGGUGGACAUGUACCAUGCCACGGAGGACGGCGGGGCAGGGAUGGCUAUCUGCCAGGCUACCAAGGUUAGGCAUCUUUUGUUUUUAGGAGAUUACCACGUGUACGUGAAUUUUUUCAAGGUGCAUGGUGUACCUCGUCAGACCCUGGCGGACUGGCUGAGUGGCCGGGUGACCCAUGGUUGUCGCAGUGGACCACCCAGAUUGCUUGCACCAGAGGAUGAAAAUUCUCUGGUGCAGUACUGCAUCUACUGCGUCAGCCAUGGGUUUCCCUUCACCAGACAGAGGCUGAUGAAAUACAAAAUACGCAGGUAGUUGGUGUUCUAUGUGUUUAUGUAUGUAGAAUGCUGGACUGACUGUUCUCAAUGUGUGUGAUGUAAAAGUUCAAACAGGUGCCAUUAAUACAGGUAACGAGUGGGGGACAGAAGAGCCUCUUAAAGAAGAAGCUACAGAAGACACCACCUGCUGUGCUCACUGCGGGGAGCGUGAUCCACCUACAACUCCCCGCAAGAGUGUAAGUCCGAGGUUCCAUGGGUGUGCUGUGACUUCUGCCAACACUGGUUCCACUGCAGGUGUGUGCUGUGACUUCUGCCAGUACUAGUUCCACUGCAGGUGUGUGCUGUGACUUCUGCCAGUACUAGUUCCACUGCAGGUGUGUGCUGUGACUUCUGCCAGUACUGGUUCCACUGCAGGUGUGUGCUGUGACUUCUGACAGUACUGGUUCCACUGCAGGUGUGUGCUGUGACUUCUGCCAGUACUGGUUCCACUGCAGGUGUGUGCUGUGACUUCUGCCAGUACUGGUUCCACUGCAGGUGUGUGCUGUGACUUCUGCCAGUACUGGUUCCACUGCAGGUGUGUGCUGUGACUUCUGCCAGUACUGGUUCCACUGCAGGUGUGUGCUGUGACUUCUGCCAGUACUGGUUCCACUGCAGGUGUGUGCUGUGACUUCUGCCAGUACUGGUUCCACUGCAGGUGUGUGCUGUGACUUCUGCCAGUACUGGUUCCACUGCAGGUGUGUGCUGUGGGACCUAGAGGUGGAGCUGGAUUUUUGUGAUUUUUGUGACAAUAAAGGGAUGGAGGUCAAGAUGUAAUUGUUUGUUUUCAUAUGAAAUGUCUUUGUUUAAAAAAUACAUGUCUAAAAUAAUAUAUAUUUAUUCAACCCA
Long non-coding RNA from Oncorhynchus kisutch (coho salmon), 2634 nucleotides. RefSeq lists it as uncharacterized. The record is from RefSeq and is a predicted model, not a curated record. The transcript has 2 exons. Lineage: Eukaryota; Metazoa; Chordata; Actinopteri; Salmoniformes; Salmonidae.